Molecule: ribosomal RNA, 576 nt
Filed under: Pristimantis cf. stictogaster NMP-P6V75061
Lineage: Eukaryota; Metazoa; Chordata; Amphibia; Anura; Strabomantidae
Description: partial large subunit ribosomal RNA
Rfam family: Bacterial large subunit ribosomal RNA
Source: RNAcentral
AACAUCGCCUCUCGAAUUUAUUAGAGGUCUAGCCUGCCCAGUGACUUCUGUUUAACGGCCGCGGUAUCCUAACCGUGCAAAGGUAGCGUAAUCACUUGUCUUCUAAAUAAAGACUAGUAUGAAAGGCAUCACGAGGGUUUAACUGUCUCCUCUCUCUAAUCAGUGAACCUAAUCUCCCCGUGAAAAAGCGGGAAUUUUUUUAUAAGACGAGAAGACCCUAUGGAGCUUAAAACAUCUUUACACGUGCUUUCCCCUCCCACCACCCAGGUACCCUAACUCUAUCUGCACGAUGAUUAUAUGUUUUUGGUUGGGGUGACCGCGGAGAAAACCCCAUCCUCCGUAGUGAAAGGAGCUGCUCCUUAACAACAAGCCACAACUUUAUGUAUUAAUAUAUUAACACCAUUGACCCAAUAAAUUGAUUAAUGAACCAAGUUACCCUAGGGAUAACAGCGCAAUCCACUUCCAGAGCCCCUAUCGACAAGUGGGCUUACGACCUCGAUGUUGGAUCGGGGUGUCCUGGUGGUGCAGCCGCUACUUAGGUUCGUUUGUUCAACGAUUAAAACCCCACGUGAUCUG